This 470-nucleotide long non-coding RNA is filed under the name Setaria italica (foxtail millet). RNAcentral's name for it is "long non-coding RNA (SITA_LNC005272)". The record is from RNAcentral. Lineage: Eukaryota; Viridiplantae; Streptophyta; Magnoliopsida; Poales; Poaceae.
CCUGUUUGACUAGCUUGUCUACGGGCCGAAAACGGGCGCUUGCCCUUCCGUGGACGUGGCCCAUGGACUAGGUGGGCUUUGAUACACCAAUUACUCUUGAAGCUCUACUCUAUGGGCCACUUCCUCAUUAGGCCUGCCUAUUAGCAAGUUAUGGGCCACGGAGGCUUUUGGCACCACACCAUCAAAUGCCGAAUUUUUUUAUUUUUUAUUUUAGUAUUUUGUAAAAAUAUAUAGCCAAAAUAAAUUGCAAAUCUAUACAUAUACCGCCGUUUGAAACGGCGGAAGCAAGGUAGCGUUAGUUGAACCGGUGGUAUUACCACCUCCUCUAGGCAGUACACUUAUAAAAAAUCAUAAAUAAUUCAUAUGAACUCGGAUGGAGAUAAACUUUAUAUGAAAAAUUGUAGAUCCCGACGAGAUAUACAACUUUUUAGCUCGAACUUUUUUCAUUUAGUGUUAUCUUUAUGCUUAAA